Molecule: ribosomal RNA, 301 nt
Filed under: uncultured bacterium
Lineage: Bacteria
Description: partial 16S ribosomal RNA
Rfam family: Bacterial small subunit ribosomal RNA
Source: RNAcentral
CAGUAGCCGCGGGAAUACGUAGGUCCCGAGCGUUGUCCGGAUUUAUUGGGCGUAAAGGGAGCGCAGGCGGUUUAGUAAGUCUGAAGUUAAAGGCAUUGGCUCAACCAAUGUAUGCUUUGGAAACUGUUAGACUUGUGUGCAGAAGGGGAGAGUGGAAUUCCAUGUGUAGCGGUGAAAUGCGUAGAUAUAUGGAGGAACACCGGUGGCGAAAGCGGCUCUCUGGUCUGUCACUGACGCUGAGGCUCGAAAGCGUGGGUAGCGAACAGGAUUAGAUACCCCCGUAGUCCCUGUCUCUUAUACA